This is an RNA transcript of Dromaius novaehollandiae (emu), 395 nucleotides long. RefSeq lists it as uncharacterized. The record is from RefSeq and is a predicted model, not a curated record. The transcript is spliced from 4 exons. Lineage: Eukaryota; Metazoa; Chordata; Aves; Casuariiformes; Dromaiidae.
GGCGAGGCGGCCCCGGCGCGGCGGCCGGGCGGGGCCGGGGGCGGGCGGAGCGCGCCCGGCCCGGCCCGGCUCGGCCGCCGCCGCCGAGACGCGCUGCGGGAGAGGAAGGAGGCGGCGGCGGAAUCACUACAGGAGUUAAAUCGGAGUGAGCCGGACAAGCAGCAAGCCUGCCUAUGUAGACUGAAGAAUUUGCUGAAGGUCACAUAACCUGAGGCCGAGCUGGAUCUCGUGACGCCCAGUCUGGUGCUUUAAUCACAGACCGUUCCUGCUUUUCAUGCUCCUAUGAAGAGAGCAGCCAGCUUUGCACAGAGUAGAAGCUUUUAUGCCCAGCCAUUUUGUGCAACAUAGCAAAAAGAAAAAAGUCCAGGUCUUCUGAGGAACCUGAGUCACCUUGA